GACGUAGGAGGCGAGCGUUGUCCGGAUUCAUUGGGCGUAAAGGGUGCGUAGGCGGCGCGGUAAGUCGGGUGUGAAAUCUCGGAGCUUAACUCCGAAACUGCAUUCGAUACUGCCGUGCUUGAGGACUGGAGAGGAGACUGGAAUUUACGGUGUAGCGGUGAAAUGCGUAGAUAUCGUAAGGAAGACCAGUGGCGAAGGCGGGUCUCUGGACAGUUCCUGACGCUGAGGCACGAAGGUCAGGGGAGCAAACGGG
This 253-nucleotide ribosomal RNA is filed under the name uncultured bacterium. RNAcentral describes it as "partial 16S ribosomal RNA". It matches the Rfam family "Bacterial small subunit ribosomal RNA", at positions 524 to 776 of the family's 1533-position model. The record is from RNAcentral.